Long non-coding RNA from Prunus avium (sweet cherry), 1093 nucleotides. RefSeq lists it as uncharacterized. Lineage: Eukaryota; Viridiplantae; Streptophyta; Magnoliopsida; Rosales; Rosaceae. The record is from RefSeq and is a predicted model, not a curated record.
AGUUCUUAGAGAUAUUGUGACCCAAAAAAAAAAGGAUUUUCUACCACUAAACAAAUAAAAAACAGAGUGCAGUCUUCAACCCAAAAACACAGGCAGUUUUCAAUUGAAAAAAAAACAGAGUGCAGUUUACAGUGAGGUUUUAGGCGUCCCCUAAUUGCCAGACGGUAGAGGGUUUAAGUUUCUAAGAUUUUUUAUGGCUUCAAAAUGGGUAAAAGUAAAGGCCGAGGAAAUACCCGUGAAAUAAUGAUUCGUUAUGCUCCAACCACAUUCUGAUAGUGAUACGACCUUAGGCUCACUGCCCACUGUUCCUGCUCUCUCUCUCUCUCUCUCUCUGACUCUCUCUAGAUGGUGGAAUUUUAGCAUCCCAAUGUGAUUUCAAGAAAAAAGUAUAUCAGUGUAGACUACGGCAGAAGCUGCGCAGCUACUUUGAGAGACCAAAAAGAUUGCGUUUUGCAUCUGCAUUCCCUUCACCAUUACCCUUUCUCAAAAAGCAACAAACCCAGAGCAAGAGACAUUGCCGCCCACCUCACAACUUAUUUAAAACAGCGAAGAAAACAGGGGAAGAGCCAAUUGGGUUUUUGGUGCAAGAGACUCAGUGAGCAGCAGUGUAAGCGAGCCACUUAUGAAUAUGGGUUUGGUAGGAAGCUUGGUUUGGGUGAAUGCAUACAGUAGGAAGCAGUGUAGGAGCCUGUUCUGGAGAAUGCGAGCGGCAUUGAAGAAGGCUCUCAAGAACUCUGGCAAGAAGCAGUUGAGGUUCCAGUAUGAUCCUUCCAGCUAUGCUCUGAAUUUUGAUGAUGGCUCUUGGAAAUCAGCCCAGGAAGCAAAUGCUUUGAAAUUGAAACAUGCAACAAAACCUCAGCCCCAUUCGGAUUCAGAUGUCAAAAACACUGCUUGGGUUUAUGUUCUUUGGGUGGUUUCGGAGUGAUGUUUGCAAGAGGAAAGAGGGGAGCAGAUUGUUUUUUCUUUUUUCUUUGUGUUUGUGUGGUGUCCAAAAAUUUUAGCAGCUAAAGUGCCAUGCUUGUGAAGAGUGUGGUCAUUGUCUAAAAAAUGAAUGGUUAUAAUUACAAGUGUGGCUUAUGAUUUUCUUGUUUCA